This 269-nucleotide ribosomal RNA is filed under the name uncultured prokaryote. RNAcentral describes it as "partial 16S ribosomal RNA". It matches the Rfam family "Bacterial small subunit ribosomal RNA", at positions 524 to 792 of the family's 1533-position model. The record is from RNAcentral.
UACGUAGGGAGCGAGCGUUGUCCGGAAUUACUGGGCGUAAAGGGUGCGUAGGCGGCAUGGCAAGUCAGAUGUGAAAUCCCCGGGCUUAACUCGGGAGUUGCAUUUGAAACUGCCGUGCUUGAGUGCAGGAGAGGUUAUCGGAAUUCCCGGUGUAGCGGUGAAAUGCGUAGAUAUCGGGAGGAACAUCGGUGGCGAGGGCGGGUAACUGGACUGCAACUGACGCUGAGGCGCGAAAGUGUAGGGAGCAAACAGGAUUAGAUACCCUGGUA